Molecule: ribosomal RNA, 184 nt
Filed under: uncultured bacterium
Lineage: Bacteria
Description: partial 16S ribosomal RNA
Rfam family: Bacterial small subunit ribosomal RNA
Source: RNAcentral
UAAUACGUAGGGGGCAAGCGUUGUCCGGAUUUAUUGGGCGUAAAGAGCGUGUAGGCGGCUUUACAGGUCCGUUGUGAAAACUCGAGGCUCAACCUCGAGACGCCGGUGGAAACCGUAAAGCUAGAGUCCGGAAGAGGAGAGUGGAAUUCCUGGUGUAGCGGUGAAAUGCGCAGAUAUCAGGAAG